UGAACAUUGCAAUAAUAUGGUU
This 22-nucleotide non-coding RNA is filed under the name Mus musculus (house mouse). Lineage: Eukaryota; Metazoa; Chordata; Mammalia; Rodentia; Muridae. The record is from RNAcentral.